CCUACGGGUGGCAGCAGUCGAGAAUCUUUCACAAUGGGGGAAACCCUGAUGGUGCGACGCCGCGUGGGGGAAUGAAGGCCUUCGGAUUGUAAACUCCUGUCAUGUGGGAGCAAACUAAAAAGAUAGUACCACAAGAGGAAGAGACGGCUAACUCUGUGCCAGCAGCCGCGGUAAUACAGAGGUCUCAAGCGUUGUUCGGAAUCACUGGGCGUAAAGUGUGCGUAGGCUGUUUCGUAAGUCGUGUGUGAAAGGCGCGGGCUCAACCCGCGGACGGCACAUGAUACUGCGAGACUAGAGUAAGGGAGGGGGAACCGGAAUUCUCGGUGUAGCAGUGAAAUGCGUAGAUAUCGAGAGGAACACUCGUGGCGAAGGCGGGUUCCUGGACAUUAACUGACGCUGAGGCACGAAGGCCAGGGGAGCGAAAGGGAUUAGAUACCCUGGUAGUC
This 446-nucleotide ribosomal RNA is filed under the name uncultured bacterium. RNAcentral's name for it is "partial 16S ribosomal RNA". It matches the Rfam family "Bacterial small subunit ribosomal RNA", at positions 338 to 795 of the family's 1533-position model. The record is from RNAcentral.